This 444-nucleotide RNase P RNA is filed under the name Alphaproteobacteria bacterium. RNAcentral describes it as "RNase P RNA component class A". It matches the Rfam family "Bacterial RNase P class A". Rfam says of the family: Ribonuclease P (RNase P) is a ubiquitous endoribonuclease, found in archaea, bacteria and eukarya as well as chloroplasts and mitochondria. Its best characterised activity is the generation of mature 5'-ends of tRNAs by cleaving the 5'-leader elements of precursor-tRNAs. The record is from RNAcentral. RNAcentral also lists the same sequence under 1 other name. Lineage: Bacteria; Pseudomonadati; Pseudomonadota; Alphaproteobacteria.
CCAGGGGGCUGGGCAGCCGCGUCGGAAAGCGAUUUCCGCCGAGGAAAGUCCGGGCUCCACGAAGAAAGGGUGGCGGGUAACGCCCGCCCGGUCGACGCUUUUUGUGCCGGCCGAGGGACAGUGCCACAGAGAGCAAACCGCCGAUGGCCCCGAGUUCCUUCGGGAGCGCGACGGCACAGGCAAGGGUGAAAGGGUGCGGCAAGAGCGCACCGGGGCGCACGGCAACGUCGCCCGCAUGGUAAACCCCACCCGGAGCAAAGCCGAAUAGGGGUCGCGCGUCCGGCUUCCGCAAGGACCGGGCAGGGUGCUUCGCCCCACGCGACCCGGGUUGGCUGCUCGAGCCAUGGAGCAAUCCAUGGCCCAGAUGAAUGGCUGCCCCUGCGGCGCAGGUCCUUCGGGAUACCGGUUGCAGGACAGAACCCGGCUUACAGGCCCCCUGGCAUC